CAAAGCAAAGAAGCGUUCAUUGACUGGGCAAGAUAUAAUGAUUCACAGGAUCACUUUUGUGAACUUGAUGGUAUUUAACAAAAAAUGCUACUCCAUUCCAGAGAUCACUUGAGAAGAUGACCCUUAUAGAUCAAAUAGUAGAUUUUU
Long non-coding RNA from Lutra lutra (Eurasian river otter), 147 nucleotides. RefSeq lists it as uncharacterized. The record is from RefSeq and is a predicted model, not a curated record. The transcript is spliced from 3 exons. Lineage: Eukaryota; Metazoa; Chordata; Mammalia; Carnivora; Mustelidae.